RNAcentral lists this ribosomal RNA (441 nucleotides) under uncultured bacterium. RNAcentral's name for it is "partial 16S ribosomal RNA". It matches the Rfam family "Bacterial small subunit ribosomal RNA", at positions 338 to 795 of the family's 1533-position model. The record is from RNAcentral.
CCUACGGGAGUCUGCAGUGGGGGAUAUUGCACAAUGGGGGGAACCCUGAUGCAGCGACGCCGCGUGGGUGAAGGAGCGUUUCGGCGCGUAAAGCCCUAUCGGCAGGGAAGAAGGAGGACGGUACCUUACUAAGAAGCCCCGGCUAACUACGUGCCAGCAGCCGCGGUCAUACUUAGGGGGGAAGCGUUAUCCUGAUUUACUGGGUGUAAAGGGGGGGCAGACGGCAGCGCAAGCCAGGAGUGAAAGCCCGGGGCCCAACCCCGGGACUGGUCUUGGAACUGCGCGGCUGGAGUGCAGGAGGGGCAGGCGGAAUGCCUGGUGUAGCGGUGAAAUGCGUAGAUAUCAGGAGGAACACCGGUGGCGAAGGCGGCCUGCUGGACUGCGACUGACGUUGAGGCCCGAAAGCGUGGGGAGUAAACAGGAUUAGAUACCCCUGUAGUC